CACUUUCAAACAACGGUUCUCGUCCGAUCAUCGGAGUUAAGAGACUUCAAGCCUGGUUAGUUCCUAGAUGGGCGACCGCUUGGGAAUACCAGGUGCAGUAAG
Molecule: non-coding RNA, 102 nt
Organism: Acanthosepion pharaonis
Lineage: Eukaryota; Metazoa; Mollusca; Cephalopoda; Sepiida; Sepiidae
Source: the annotation of a GenBank genome assembly